This 740-nucleotide long non-coding RNA is filed under the name Marmota monax (woodchuck). The stretch from base 66 to 126 matches the Rfam family "Gag/pol translational readthrough site". The record is from RNAcentral. Lineage: Eukaryota; Metazoa; Chordata; Mammalia; Rodentia; Sciuridae.
GGGCCAAAGAGUGCCCUAAAAAGAGACAGCCAUGCCAGCCAGCCAUUCUGACUCUGGAGGAUGACUAAGAAAGUCGGGGCUCAGAUCCCCUCCCUGAGCUCAGGGUAACUUUUGAAGUGGAGGGAACCCCAGUAAACUUUGAAGUGGAUACAGGGGCAGUAUACUCAGCCCUUAAGGCCCCAUUGGGCCCUCUAUCAAAUAAAAGGUCUCUAUUUCAAGGGGCUAACGGCAGUAAAUAUCGGGCUUGGACAACUAAGAGGACCAUAGACCUGGGGAAAGGAAAAAUCCAUCACUCCUUCCUAGUGAUCCCAGAAUGCCCAAUCCCAUUGAUAGGCAAAGAUCUGCUCACCAAGCUCCGGGCCAAAAUAACUUUUAACCCUAAAGGCCCCCAAAUGAAAUUUCUAAAUCCUUCAGUAUCCUCUGAGCAAAGAAGCUAAAGAUGGGAUAAGGCCCCAUAUUCAGAAAUAUCUGGCCUUAGGGGUCCUAAGGCCCUGUCAAUUGGCCUGGAACACUCCCCUGCUACCAGUAAAAAAAAGCCAGGAACCGGGGACUAUCGCCCCAUACAAGACCUAAGAGAGAUCAACAACAGAGUGCAGGACAUUCACCCCAUGGUACCUAAUCCAUACAAUCUGCUUAGCACUCUGAACCCUGAACGAAAAUGGUAUACUAUUCUGGACUUAAAAGAUGCUUUCUUUUGCUUGCCUCUGCAUAAAGAUAGUCAGUUGCUGUUUGCUUUCAAG